GAAAAAAAAUGUGAGUUUGCCACAAUAUUGUUUAUAUAAUAUGUAGCCUAUCAGUUUUUCUUAGCAGUUCACAUGAGCUCUAUGUUGGCAUAUAAUCUUUGUUGAAGAUUACUGUUACUUUAACAGGAAUAAAAUAAUUAAUUACUUACUUUAAGAAAGAAUAUCACCAUAAGCUGAUUUAUUAUCCCCCCUCGCCCCCUCCCCCAUGGCCACGUAUAUUUUAUGGAAAACCCAAUAGAAUAUCUGAACUACGCUUUCGAAUUGAACAUACAUAUAUUUAGUUCACAUAAAUAUUCACAUUGUCGACUACAAAGUUAUCACGUUUUGUGUUCUGGACUUUCCGGCGCUCUUCGUUCACUUGGAAAAGAACAGACGCAUAGAGUAAGUAAAGUACUAGUACAGAGUGGACACUCAAUGCUAUUGCAGUUCUACGUUUUUUUAUUCAGAAAUGCCCUAGUUGCUAUACAAAAACGCAAACUUGACAAACAUUAAAACAAAGUUGCAAUGGCUUAAAACCGAGAUAAAGUACCUUCUGGAGUAAGACUUACAUUUCAAAUUAUAAGUAAAAUUUAAUUUAAAUACAACAUUGAUCCUAGAAAGUACAAUUUGCAGUUAAUAUGCUUAAAACACUAAUUUGAAUAGUAGGGAAAUUUGCAGUUUCAACUGAAUGUUGGCGAGCUUGUGACUUCUUUCGUGCAUGCAUUAAUAUUUAUAAAAAUAUUGAUUUUAUUUUUUUUUCCCUUAUAACUAAAUAUCGGUAAACGUAACAUAUAAUUAUUUAGGAGAGCAAUAUUUUUAAAACAAUAAGUAAAUUUCUUACCUUCGGGACAGUGUUUGCCUUAACCUCAUUUCGGUUAAAAAUGUUUUGUUUACGUAGCAUAACAUUUGUUAAAAUGCAUAAAAUGUAACAUAUUUUCGGAUUAUAAUAAAUUGCUACCUUUUUUUUAUGUACAAGAAAUAAUUUCUGUUCUAGUAGAAUCACGUUGAUUGAAGUUAAGGUUAGGAUUUUCGUAGGUACCUACCGAAUUGCAUCACAAAUCGCAAACAAAACUAAUGCAUAAAAAAACGUCCAGAAGUAUUUAAUCAUUAACACAGGCAAUGUGUAUUUCUGGCAAAUUUAACUACCUAAGAUGUACCAUUUUAGUACAAAUCUUUCUCGCAUUUUCACUUCUUGAAGACAGGUGUAUAGCAAUUGUUAAGGGGGGGGGGGGAAUCUUAAUUUCAACAUAAAAAUUUAAAAGACACUUCAUUUUAUCGCAACCCUCACCUCGGUAAUUGUUCCGUAUCACGUAUCCAAGUUUAUCCCUUGGUCCUGUUGGCAUGAUUAUGUAUGAUUUAUCCGGUGGCACAUGAUGCUUGCUGUUUUAAUUAAUGUUAAAACAGCAAGCAUCAUUACCACAGGAUCAAUGUAUUCAGGAUCAUGCCAUUAGUAUCAAGGGAUUGACUUGGAUACGCAAUACAAAAUUUUUACCCACACCUCCCUCUCGACCUAAAAAUAAAAUUCAUACAAAAAAUUUAGACUAAUUAAAGUACAUAAGCAACAAGUUUGAGCAGAAUUUGAGACUCAUUAACGUUUAGAACAGUACCUAAGUAUUUAUGUAUUGUGUGCUUGUCCUCAAUGUGCGACUACACACUACCUAAAAAGAGGAAAUUCUGUAGGGCAUGAAAACAAAAUGCUCAUCACUAUUUUAAUUACACAAAAUUUUUAUUUUGUUUCGUUUUAAUGAUUUACACAUACCUAGUUUCGUCAUGCGGAAACUUAAAGUAAAGUUAAUUAUUAUUAUCUCUUCUCUUGUUGUAGUAGCAGUAGUUAACACAACACGUAGCCGAAUCAGGCAUGUUUCAUAACAGUAAUUUAGAACGUAGUUCAUGAAAUCAUUAAUAUUAUUUAACGAGAUUACUAUUUCAACAUGAUUGAAACAAAAUUUCCUUCGAAUUUUUUUAUUAAACCUAAUAUUGCUUAAUUCAACGCCGACGCGACGCCAUUAAUUAUGGAUAAACAAGUGGUUCAACAUGCCAACGAAAACUUGUUAAGUAAAUAUAUUAUUUUCAUUUCAACAAUACCAAUUUAUGCUAUAAAUUUGAUAAAAUGUCAAAACAAAUGUAAUAAUUAUUUAAUCAACGUGGUAUUUUGAUUAUAAUUUUUGUGCUCAGAUGUUGGAUAAAAUUGUAUAGCAACUAGAAAAAUGCGAUUGCCAUGCCCUAUGAAGUGUCCCCCCCCCCCCCCCCUGAACAUACGAGUAAGUGACAACAGCGCGGCUUUCUUAGCCCACUGGCCGCGCCAAGCACCUCCCGGGAAGCCUACAUUUCACAAAGGGUUGAGGACCAACCCGAACAUGCCCGAAGACUUAACCUUCGGUCAACUUCGGGACUUUGUUUUUCUUUUAACAAGACGCGCGGGAAUUUUGAUUAGUGAAGGCCCACCGCCCAUACUUAAGGACAGAGGCUAUUCCUAUCUUGCAGAAUCUCGUCACUGUUCAACUAUGUAACAGAACUUAACUGAAUUCAACAUGUUUCAGGAUAAUUAUAUUUAGGGCGGUAUUCCAAGACGUUUCAGUAAGGUAGCGAAUAUACACUGCCUUGUUGGGCAACUGCCAUACCCUAACUUUCGGGUCAUAUUCCAAAACGUGUCCUAACUGAUCUCCUGUAAGGUAUCAGAUCGGCUGCCGUUUUAAUAAACAAGGACUUGUACCAGGCUAUAAACAGUUGUACUUCGUGGAAUCCAUCGUAAUUUUACCUUAUUUUUUAAAACUAUGGAAUUAUAAUGUGAAAUAAAAUAUUUAAUUUUGGUUGUACAAGAAUAAACGAUGAAUUUUUGGCCGUAUUUAUGUUUGCUGUUUUUUAAGAUAUUAGGGGGGAAAUUGUAAUCGUAUAAGUUACAUUAAAGUUCAUUAAAAAGGAAAAAAAAUAUAUAUACAGUUAUGGAUCAAAUCGGCAACAGAUAGGACACCAAAAAUCAGUGCCCUAAAAAUAAGGGACUGGCCGUGUCCUAUCGUGCACUUGGAAUAUGGUUAGGGUACAGGUAUUGCAUAUUCAACACCUAAACCCUUAUUUUUGUGUCUUGGAAUAUGGCCCUUAGUGUUGUAUCUAUAGCAUGUUUCAAUUUUUUUUCAUGGAAAAUUCAAAAUCAUCUUUAUAUAUUUACAGCUUAAAAUUUUAUUUUCUUUCCGGGAGGGUGCCAGGCUAACUUAUGCAGCUGUUUGGUGGGUCGUCGGCCCCAGCUUUGUUCACUAGGAUCGUGGCGGUGGUUGGAUUACUAACUAGAGAAGUCGUAUCACACUCCUCAGGCAGCAUGGUUGGCUGAUGCCUAACUUAGGUAAGGGGGCACUGGAAAUCACUGUCAAUUUGUUCUCGCAUUUAUUGGCAUGCUAUGCAUUGCGGUGUUAAACUAUGCGUUAUACCUUAUACUUUACCCUGACAAAAGUUUCUGAUUGCUUCGUUAUGUGCUUACGUUACAUCUAACAGCAGUCUUAUUGGGGAUUUGCAUGGAGUCGGCCAUACCCGUAAGUUUUUGAAUUACGACUCGAACAGGCUCUACGAGCCGUGAAUCUACAAGUGCUUUAAUGUCUUUGUUUGGGCCAGCAGACAUAUGCACGGCUACAUUAAAUUAAAACGCUUACCUCUGGAGUCAGCGAGUUCCAUAAUUGUCGACCCUGCGGCGUGGUCACGUGGCAGGGUUAAAUCUAAGGCGGUUGGGAUAAGCCCGGCUCCGCAAAGAUGACCCAGGGAUGUGUGGGUAACGAGAGAAAAAAGAUUUAGAGGUGAGAAAGUCUAUAAAACAUUUACCACAAUAUUUCAAGACAUGUGUGUGAAAAUGCUGAGAGUUAAUAUUGUGGUCAUUCACUAAAAACUGGUUUCAUUAUAUUUGUGAGGUUCAUACUGUGCAGCUAUACUGCAUGACUAUUAAGUAAAUUAUAUAAACAAUUAUUUUAUGCACAAAUUACUACAUUAUGUUUCUCACCAUAAAAGUAAUUGUCCAUAAAGGUACAUACUGAGGUUGUUUAAAACAAUAGCAUGUUAUGAGACUUUGUAGUGUCACCUGAUGGUAUAAUGUAAAGAGGAAAUAUUACUGUGUAAGCUCUGUGUUGGUAAUGCUCAGUAUAGAAAUUCAGUAAUGUAUGAGACAUUUGCAGCCUAGAUUGUCACUAAAGAAUAUUCUUUUUAUGAAAAAAAAAACAUAAAUAUUAAUUUUUUUUUGUGUCCACAGUAAUCUCUUUCCAUUGUAUUAUUUUAUCCGUAACAUUCCUGUAUAAAAAAUCCUAUCAUUGUAGCUUUCCUAAUUGUUCGUUGGUUUACUUGAUAUGUACCAACACUUAUUCGUUGGUUUACUUGAUAUGUACCAACACAGUGGGUGAAUGUAUCUUGAAAGCGAUACCACAUAAAAGGUUACAUGUUACAUUUAAAUUUAUAUGUUCACUUUAUAAAAAAAAUUCAUUUAUGUGCUGUGGAAUGAAAAAAACGAAGACACAUUGAAUAUUUAAACACUAAUAUUUUAAGGCAUAAAAUCUUGCACUUUCUUUCUUGUACAUACUAAUAACUACAAUGUGUUUUAAAGAUAACUGACAUGUCAAAAGGUAAAAUUAUUUAUUAUGAACGUUCAGCAAAAAUCUUUACACUUUUCUUUCCUUUAAAUGACAGCAUUUUUUUUCCAUAUGAAUCACCCAAGUUUGGUAAGUUUUGAAGAUAGACAAUCAUGAAAUAUAAGGUUGUAAAAAAUACUCUUUAUUUCUCCAAAAAAAAAAAAAUUAUUUCACUUUCUUAGUUACUAUCAAUUAACUGGCAAUGAAAUAAAAUUCUAAGUGAAAUAAAAAAAGCACUAUUAUAACAAAAAUUCACAAAAUAAUUCAUUUUCAUUGAAUGUCCAAAGAAUUUAAUCUACAAGAAAAUGUUCUAAUGUCUUCACAUGCCAGCAUUAAACAGAAAAUAAUUCUUCCUUUCUAUGGAGUGUCCAAGGAGUUUAAUGUUUCAGCUCAUUUUCUAAUUUCCUUACAUACCUGCAACAAACAGAAACAAUUACAAGUACUGAGAAUGUAGAGAAUAAGUCAUAUAAAUGGCAAUCUGGAGACAAAGUCCAUAACAGAAACUGUAGAGCAAUAAAGUAAUACAUAGUAUUUAACAGAAACUAUAUAGCAGAAAAAUAAUAUUCAUGGCAACAUGAUACACACCAGAUGGUCAACACAUUUCAUUUCGUGAGUAUAUGUAUAAUUUGAUAAGCUCAAUAGUUUUGGUAGGCCUAUCUUAUUUAAAUGUAUACUGUUCUUCAUGUAUUCACAGCUUUCAAUAUUUUUUUUUUGUUUUUAAUAUUUGUUAAACAUUCAGUUACAUAAAAAAUUGGAAAUAUCGUAUACCUACAUCACAAAGAGUGUUUGGUGAUUUAAUGCAAUGGCAAAAUUAGCACCUACACACAUUAAUUAAAAAAAAAACUACUACUGCUUAUAAAUACAAGUGGUAACAAUAGUUAACAGCACUUAGCUCUUAAUGUUUCUCAGGUAGAUGUAUAGAAUAUAAACGUGUGGUGAUUGUAGUAGUGACUGCAGUUUGCGAUACUGUAUGCUGCAACACUAAGUGAGAUUAAUGGCAGAACAGUAAAUAUUUUUUGUGUAAACUUAAGACAAGCAGCCAGAAAAGUAGGACAGGUGGUUUAUUUUUAUGAUUUUAUAAAAUGUUAUAGUAAUUAAGUAGUAGUGUUUUGUGUUUAUUGUAAUUUUAUAGUUUAUCAGAUUUUUUGCAAACAAGAAAAUAAAAAUUACAAAAUACCUUUUGCUUCCUGAAAUGCUUUGGAAUCAUUUUGUAAGACAGCACUGUGUUACAUCAAGCAGUCUACCAAUAGUUUUAUAGUUUUAACAUUCAUGAUUGCGAUAUCGCAAGCGCCGCCAUGUGCGAGUCCCUGCUUUCAAUAAAAACAAGGGCCUCAUAAUCAGAUUUUGUCACAUAUGGAGUUAUGUGUUUCUUGCUGCAAGUAUUGCUCUCUUGGGUAAUGACUGAAAAACAUAUCAGGAAGUAAAAAAAAAAGUUAUAAUUUUACUCUUCUUACUUUUGUUGAUUAAAACAAACUUAAUAAAAUCUUGUGCAGUUUUAAAAACGAUAAACAACUUAAAGUACCUCAACAUUCUCUUGGGAAAUAUUUUGAUACAUGUCAGGAUGUGAAAAAAAGUUUUUCAGAAUUUUUUUCUUUAUUCAUUUAAAAGCAAAUUUAAAAACAAUACAAUUACUCUGUGCAUUUUAUUUGCUGUUAGGAGAGAGGUGGGUAAUAAUCUUACAUUGUGGCUUUUCCACAAACUAAAAAAAAAUUAGACAAAAACUUUUUUUGACACUAGUCUUAGCCCUGAAUUUAUCCUGAAAACAGACUUUAAAUUUCUACAGGUUAGCAAGUAAUCAAAGUUUAAAGCUUACAUUAUAAAUAUUAUAAUACCUGUGCAUUCACACAUACCUGUACGUUCUUAAAGUACAAACACUGGAAAGAAAAACUUUUGGACGGACAUUCAUAUGCUUCUGUUACAUCAGAUAUAUAUCUUGAGAAAUAAUAAUGAAAUGUAAUAUAUCUUCAGUAUGGUGUUCUAUUAUCCUAGUACAGGUAGGGCUUGUUCUUAAGUAUAGAAUAUGAUACCACAGGUAAAAUAUAUACUGUAGUAGGUAUGUUCUAAAUCUAGAAUAAGCAUGGCCAUAGCAUAAAAUACGUUACCAGAAAGCUAGUUUAAUACACAAACAUAUUUUGUGCAAAACAAGCAUUAGAAUACUCCCCAACUAAAACCCCCAUAUAAUCAUGCUAGUCACAUAAUAAUGCAGAUAUGGUAAUGACAUAAAUGUGCCAUGUUAAUGUCAUCAUUAAUGUGAUAAUGGUAUUGUGAUACAUACUUGUCCCGAAAGUGAAAUUGGUAAAAGUUCCGUAUAACAUAUUCAAAUUCAUCCCUUGAUCCAGAAGGCAUGAUCUUGUAUACAUUGUUCCUGUGGUACAUUUUGCUUGAUGUUUUGAUUUGGUACAUUGAAAGAACAUGGGCAUACUAACUUGUGUUAUUACAAUUUAUAUAUGAAUGUAAAACAGUUACAAAAGAAAUUAUUUCACAACACCUGAGAUAAUUUGUUUGUCUUGUGAUGUUCUGUUCUAGUAUUUGUUAUGUUCAUACUCUUUCGACGUAACAAAUUAAAACAGCAAGCAUCUUGUACCACAAAACCAAGGGAUCAAUUUGGACACGUGAUACGAAAAAAAUUACGCCAACCUAGGCUAAACUUUAAAACCUGUAGAGAGAAAAUAUGAACUAAAUGAUGAUACAUAUCUCUUAAUUUACACGCAAAUCUGAAAGUUAGUUAAAGUUCAGUAUCGCAUAUCCAAGUUUUUCACUUGAUACCGAGGUACAUGAUGCUUGCUGUUUUAAUUUAGUGCGUUGAAAGAUCCUGAACAUAACGAAUACUUGUAAUAUAACAGUGAAUAAUAAUCUUAAGAUUAUUACUAAAUAUGCACUUUCUUUCUAUGAAUUAAACACUUAACCUCACAAUUAUUAUUAAUAAGUGUUUUUGAUAUCCACCAUGGCCGUGCUGUUAUGAAAAUAAAAACAAAGUCACGAAGUUGGCCGAAGGUGAAGUCUUCGGGCAUGUUCGGGUUGGUCCUCAACCCUUUGUGAAAUGUAGGCUUCCCAGCACCUCCCAGCAGAGCACUCCACGCAUUCUAGCGGGCUCUUCGGAAGCAACCCACGCGGUGUACAGAAUAGUUUGUUUUUUGACUCCUGCACAAACCAAUUACCUUUAUCGAACGCAGUAAACGUACGAAUCGACCCUAAACCAUAGCUCUACCAGUUUACAUACAUGAUUUUUUGCAAAUUCAACACUACGAUUUAAUAAGAUCAAUUUAUAAUUCCAUAGAAUAUACAAUAGCCAAGUAAAUAAUAUUUAAUUUAUUAUUUAUUGCACCACAUUAAUUUCUAUCUAUGCUAGGCUCAAGAGAAAGCCCUUAGGAAUUAAAAAAUAGUAAAUAUGUUCGCUAAUUAUACUUUCAUAAAAUUUAUAGCAUAAAUAAUACAUUUAUAUCGCAGUUAAGUACGCAUUUGCGGCUAGAACAAGGUUUAUUCUUUACAUGAAAAAAUUCACAAACACCUUGUGGCCCCCAGGCCACAUUUAUGUAAUUUAUUUAUUUUACUCAUUAUUGAUUUUAUGAAUUAUUUCCUUUUUUAAAUGAUUUCUGUUUCUUAAAUUUUAUUUAGUGUUAUUCUGGUUAAUUAUUUAAUUAUUGUAACCUUUUUCUUUUAUAGUUUUAUUCUGAUUUGGUGUCUUUCUAGUGUUAUUGUUAUUCUAUAUAUACAUAUCGAUUGUAUUUUCAUGGCCGGCUACUGGGAGCGCGGAUGCGAUGCAUCGAUGACGUCAUGAGCGGUCGUGUGCCGGCGGAGGCGAACGAAACUGUGCGCCGCGGUCUGUUGGUUUUUGGGAGUCGCCGCGACUGGACGUGUGUCGCGAGACAGGAGACACGGCUUUUCGACUCUGCACCGGCCAGUCCUCACCGGGGCCUGCUGAGAUGGUGCCUUGCCUGACCGAGAGGCGUCUUCAGCGGCAAGAUAUUCGCAACCUACGCUAAGCUGCUGUCCUGAAACUUCAUAAGGUUAACCAUAUUGAGAUGAAGGAUACAAUCUGCCUGUGGCUGAAACAGAGCGAAACAAGAGUAAUGAAGAGCUGCUGUCCUGAAACUUCAUAAGGUUAACCAUAUUGAGGUGAAGGAUACAAUCUGCCUGUGGCUGAAACAGAGCGAAACAAGAGUAAUGAAGAGCUGCUGUCCUGAAACUUCAUAAGGUUAACCAUAUUGAGGUGAAGGAUACAAUCUGCCUGUGGCUGAAACAGAGCGAAACAAGAGUAAU
Long non-coding RNA from Bacillus rossius redtenbacheri, 8840 nucleotides. RefSeq lists it as uncharacterized. The record is from RefSeq and is a predicted model, not a curated record. NCBI's taxonomy places the organism in Eukaryota, Metazoa, Arthropoda, Insecta, Phasmatodea, Bacillidae. The transcript has 4 exons.